GGGGGGAAUAUUGGACAAUGGGCGCAAGCCUGAUCCAGCCAUGCCGCGUGGGUGAUGAAGGCCCUAGGGUUGUAAAGCCCUUUCGGCGGGGAAGAUAAUGACGGUACCCGCAGAAGAAGCCCCGGCUAACUUCGUGCCAGCAGCCGCGGUAAUACGAAGGGGGCUAGCGUUGCUCGGAAUCACUGGGCGUAAAGCGCACGUAGGCGGACUCUUAAGUCGGGGGUGAAAUCCUGGAGCUCAACUCCAGAACUGCCUUCGAUACUGGGAGUCUUCGAGUUCGGGAGAGGUGAGUGGAACUGCGAGUGUAGAGGUGAAAUUCGUAGAUAUUCGCAAGAACACCAGUGGCGAAGGCGGCUCACUGGCCCGAUACUGAUGCUGAGGUGCGAAAGCGUGGGGAGCAAA
Molecule: ribosomal RNA, 402 nt
Filed under: uncultured bacterium
Lineage: Bacteria
Description: bacterial SSU rRNA
Rfam family: Bacterial small subunit ribosomal RNA
Source: RNAcentral